RNAcentral lists this ribosomal RNA (602 nucleotides) under Cicindela (Rivacindela) sp. JP-14b. RNAcentral describes it as "partial 16S ribosomal RNA". It matches the Rfam family "Bacterial large subunit ribosomal RNA", at positions 1844 to 2726 of the family's 2925-position model. The record is from RNAcentral. Lineage: Eukaryota; Metazoa; Arthropoda; Insecta; Coleoptera; Carabidae.
UUUAAGGUCUAACCUGCCCAAUGAGGAUUUAAAUGGCCGCAGUAUUUUGACUGUGCAAAGGUAGCAUAAUUAUUAGUUUUUUAAUUGAAAGCUUGUAUGAAGGGUUGGACGAGAUAAAAUCUGUCUUUAUUUAAAUUAAAAUAUAAUUUAACUUUUAAGUAAGAAGGCUUAAAUAUUUAUAAAAGACGAGAAGACCCUAUAGAUCUUUAUUUGCUUAAAAUUUUAAUAAUUUAGGAUUAUUUUAAUUUAAAGUUUUAAUUAAAUUUUAUUGGGGUAAUAUAAAGAUUAAAUAAAUUCUUUUUAUUUAUAACAUUGAUUUAUGAAUAUAUGAUCCAUUAAUAUUGAUUAUAAGAUUAAGUUACCUUAGGGAUAACAGCGUAAUUUUUUUGGAGAGCUCAUAUCGAUAAAAAAGUUUGCGACCUCGAUGUUGGAUUAAAAAUUAGCUUGGGUGCAGAAGCUCAAGAUUUUGGUCUGUUCGACCAUUAAAUUUUUACAUGAUCUGAGUUCAGACCGGCGUGAGCCAGGUCGGUUUCUAUCUUUAUAAAGAUAAAAUGUUUUAGUACGAAAGGACCAGGCAUUUAAUAUAAUUAUAUUUAUUUUUU